This 527-nucleotide long non-coding RNA is filed under the name Ananas comosus (pineapple). RNAcentral describes it as "long non-coding RNA (ACOM_LNC001240)". The record is from RNAcentral. Lineage: Eukaryota; Viridiplantae; Streptophyta; Magnoliopsida; Poales; Bromeliaceae.
AGUGACGUUCUAUACUCACUCGGUUCAAAGAAGGCAUUACUAACAACUAAUAAUAAAUAAUAACUAUUACUAUAAUAGAAAUGUAAUAAGUACGAAAUAUCUACAAUGCCUCAAGUAUACACAAUAUGUUAUAAUGAGUUACUAGUGAAGUUACUCGCGCAUUGUGGCAGGCUAAUAUUAUAAAAAAGAUAAAAAAUUGAUGGAAGUAAUAUUUUUAAAAUUUUUUAAGUUGCAAUGAGACAUUAAUAAAUACAAAUAGUAUGAGAAAAAAAAGAAUGAAGAGAUAUUAUUUUACUCAUUUUUUCUUGUGAAAAUAAUUUGUUCAGAUGACAAUAGACUAUUUGAAUACAUUAAUUAAAAAAUUGAGCGAGUGAGAAGACAAAACAUCAGGCGGAAAUAGGAGUUGGGAAGGUGAAGCACCAUGGAAUGGAAAAGGGGGAGAAGCCAAGGGUGAAGGAGGAAUUAUCAUGUGGCAAAUCUAUGGAAAAUAAUAUAUAGGUAUAGAUUUUGUCAUUGACUACAUAGAU